UACGGAGGGUGCGAGCGUUGUCCGGAAUCACUGGGCGUAAAGGGCGCGUAGGUGGCGCGGGCAGUCAACGGUGAAAGUUCGGGCUCAACCCUGAAUCGGCCGUCGAUACUCCCGAGCUGGAGCACUGUAGAGGCUCAUGGAAUUCCGGGUGUAGCGGUGGAAUGCGUAGAGAUCCGGAAGAACACCGGUGGCGAAGGCGGUGAGCUGG
RNAcentral lists this ribosomal RNA (208 nucleotides) under uncultured bacterium. Its description in RNAcentral is "partial 16S ribosomal RNA". It matches the Rfam family "Bacterial small subunit ribosomal RNA", at positions 524 to 732 of the family's 1533-position model. The record is from RNAcentral.